GGUGGGUUGCCAGAGCGGACGAAUGGGGUCGUCUCGAAAACGACUAGGGCGCAAGCCCUCGCAGGUUCGAAUCCUGCACCCACCGCCA
RNAcentral lists this transfer RNA (88 nucleotides) under candidate division WWE3 bacterium. Its description in RNAcentral is "tRNA-Ser". It matches the Rfam family "tRNA". From Rfam's summary of the family: Transfer RNA (tRNA) molecules are approximately 80 nucleotides in length. Their secondary structure includes four short double-helical elements and three loops (D, anti-codon, and T loops). Lineage: Bacteria; candidate division WWE3. The record is from RNAcentral.